RNAcentral lists this ribosomal RNA (253 nucleotides) under uncultured bacterium. RNAcentral describes it as "partial 16S ribosomal RNA". It matches the Rfam family "Bacterial small subunit ribosomal RNA", at positions 524 to 776 of the family's 1533-position model. The record is from RNAcentral.
UACGUAGGUGGCAAGCGUUGUCCGGAUUUACUGGGCGUAAAGAGCGCGCAGGCGGUCGUUCAAGUCGCGUGUGAAAGCCCCCGGCUCAACUGGGGAGGGUCACGCGAUACUGAUCGACUCGAAGGCAGGAGAGGGUAGUGGAAUUCCCGGUGUAGUGGUGAAAUGCGUAGAUAUCAGGAGGAACACCGAUGGCGAAGGCAGAUCUCUGGGCCGUAACUGACGCUGAGGAGCGAAAGCAUGGGGAGCGAACAGG